This is a long non-coding RNA of Clarias gariepinus (North African catfish), 1020 nucleotides long. RefSeq lists it as uncharacterized. Lineage: Eukaryota; Metazoa; Chordata; Actinopteri; Siluriformes; Clariidae. The transcript has 2 exons. The record is from RefSeq and is a predicted model, not a curated record.
UGCAGUCCAGCUCCAGGCUCACAGCUCACAGCUCUCCUCUCCACCUCCAGCCUCACUGGCCUCGGACAUUACACAGCUAGAACAGGAGGUCCCUAAGCCACUAAGCAGAUGAAGUGUGAUCUAAUAUCAGAGAAACUGGCCUGCUUCCCAGCUCAUUAUUACUUUUGGUACGCGCUAGGCCUGCCUCAAACUCGUACCGUGAGUAAUAAUGCACUGUGGCAGGCAUUAAGCUACCUGACAGUAAAAGAUGAGCAACUUGAAGACCAUCAGCUUACUGUUCUAUUGUUAUUGCUUUUUUUCACUAUUUGCAUUUUUUUUUUUAUAAACAAGUGCGUGAAAUAGUUUUUUAAAGCUCAGUUUUGUUUGCUGGUAAAGUGCUUUUAAUGUGUAGCUUUUUUUUUUUUUUUUUUACAAACUCUUAUUAUUAUUAUUAUUAUUAUUAUUAUUUGUACAGUGUUAUGUAAAGGUUUUUGCUUACACACCCAUGUCUUAAUAUUUGAGGUACAGUAUAGGAAAAGUCAUGUAUUUUCAUAAAUAUUUUUUAUUAAUUAUUUGGACUUGGAAUAUGGAUUGAUAUACUGUGUGUGUGUGUGUGUGUGUGUGUGUGUGUGUGUGUGCAGUAAAAUACAUAUUAAAUAUAUAGAACACGGACUAUAUGGACAAUAAUACUGCUGCUAGUUCAUUUUCUACUCGUACGGUGACAUUUUUUUUAACCCUAUUUAAUUUUUUUGUAAAAAAUACAUUUUACUUUAAUAUUACACUUUGCACAUUCUGCAUAUUAUGUUAUUUGUAUAUUUCUAUUUUUUAUUAUAGCUUUGUAAAUCUGUAAAUUUGUUGAUGUGUACAUUUCAUCAUAAAUUUUUAUAUUAUACAUUUUUCUUAGUGCAAUGUUCCUUUUGUUGCAGGAACAAUCUUCCUACUCUAUCCUAUCCUUUUCUUUUUAGGUCAUGUCAGCAUUUCACUGCAUAUUAUACAGUGUAUGGUUGUGUACCUGGCAAAUAAAAUCUUAAUUUAAAUGUA